RNAcentral lists this long non-coding RNA (617 nucleotides) under Ricinus communis (castor bean). Its description in RNAcentral is "long non-coding RNA (RCOM_LNC002446)". The record is from RNAcentral. Lineage: Eukaryota; Viridiplantae; Streptophyta; Magnoliopsida; Malpighiales; Euphorbiaceae.
UGGUUUACUCUUUAUCUCUAUCUUCAUAUUCCCUGCUAGAGCUUAUUUCAAGCCAUUUUAAUUUUAUACAAUAGAUAAAAUCACCUCAAAAAUAUCUUCAAAACUAUUUUCUAUAUCUUUUAAGAAUUUUUUUUGGUUGAAUGUCGUUUUAGCUGUCUGCGACAAAGUUUAUAAUGGGUUGCUAUGAAACUUCUUCAAAAACAAAGUCCGUCGCUGAAAUAUAAUUUUCUUAUACAAAAAAAUUGAAAUGGGUUGUUCCAAGCUUUAUAGCUUGUCAUCUUCACCAACUUCACUGCUCCUUGUUACUUUUCUUUCCGUUCUUUUUUUUCUCGAUAGCUAUUCAACAUAGAACUCCUAUCACAGGAUCUCCAUGACGUCACAAGCUCUCCUCUGCCACCAGCCUCAUCGGAAACGAUCUGAUAUCGACGAAGUAAAGAAAAGAAGUUGUUGCCUCUCGCUAUUGUUCAUAGAUAGCCUGUUUGCCCAACAUGUUUUGACCGAUUUGAGGCUAAAAUGAGUUUAUCUGCCCUUUUCAAACCUAGAUAUGUAAAGUUGCAGCCUUUGACGUCCCUUGGCUGGUGAAGAAGAUUAAGGAGCUUGAAAAAAUUGGCUCCUCU